GGUUCCUUGUCUACAGAGCCAAUAUCAUCAUUUUUCUCCUUUCCACUGUAGCCAUCUUCUGCACUGAUUAUCCAAGACAUAUGUUUAUCUCUAUACCAUGCCCCAAAAUCUAUGAUGCCCCACUGUCAAAAUAUUAGAGUCCAAAACCUUCACUUGGCAUUCUAAAGGGUGAUUUUUUUUUUUUUAGUCUUCUUUUCCUGUCUUACUGACCCAUCCAUCCAUCACAUAUACUCCCGUUCCCCACCACAGCCACAUAAAUAACCAAACACCUAUCCCAACAUGUUCACAGUGCUGCAAACUCAACAUGCUUUGAACUUUAUUUCUCACUACCACUGUGCAGACAGUUCCUUUGGUGUAGAAGUCCCUGUUUGCACCUCUCCACAGCCCCAUUUUUGUCCACAUCAAACAUAUUAAGGUCAUUUAAAUCUUCCUUUUCAGUGAGAUUCCACAUCCACCAAAUGCCAGACAAGCUCUCAAACCAACCCUCUUGCAAAUAACAACUAUUAACUUUGGAAAAAAUUUAAAACAAACAAACAAAAAACAGCUACCUGAAGGCAUUGAAGAGCAACCAAAAGAAGGAGGAAUCUUAAUUGACUGUUGGAGGAAGGGACUAACAUCUGGAAGCAAUGGAAGUUGAAUUCUGG
Molecule: non-coding RNA, 644 nt
Organism: Manis javanica (Malayan pangolin)
Lineage: Eukaryota; Metazoa; Chordata; Mammalia; Pholidota; Manidae
Source: RefSeq, a predicted model, not a curated record